Molecule: ribosomal RNA, 699 nt
Filed under: uncultured bacterium
Lineage: Bacteria
Description: bacterial SSU rRNA
Rfam family: Bacterial small subunit ribosomal RNA
Source: RNAcentral
AGAGUUUGAUCCUGGCUCAGAUUGAACGCUGGCGGCAUGCCUAACACAUGCAAGUCGAACGGAAACGAUGGAAGCUUGCUUCCAGGCGUCGAGUGGCGGACGGGUGAGUAAUACUUAGGAAUCUGCCCAGUAGUGGGGGACAACUCGGGGAAACUCGAGCUAAUACCGCAUACGCCCUACGGGGGAAAGCGGAGGAUCUUUCGGGACUUCGCGCUAUUGGAUGAGCCUAAGUCGGAUUAGCUUGUUGGUGAGGUAAAAGCUCACCAAGGCGACGAUCCGUAGCUGGUCUGAGAGGACGAUCAGCCACACUGGGACUGAGACACGGCCCAGACUCCUACGGGAGGCAGCAGUGGGGAAUAUUGGACAAUGGGGGCAACCCUGAUCCAGCAAUGCCGCGUGUGUGAAGAAGGCCUGCGGGUUGUAAAGCACUUUCAGUAGAGAAGAAAAGUUCAGGGUUAAUACCCCUGAAUCUUGACGUUACCUACAGAAGAAGCUCCGGCUAACUCCGUGCCAGCAGCCGCGGUAAUACGGAGGGAGCGAGCGUUAAUCGGAAUUACUGGGCGUAAAGCGCGCGUAGGCGGCUUUGUAAGUCGGAUGUGAAAGCCCCGGGCUCAACCUGGGAAUGGCAUUCGAUACUGCAGAGCUAGAGUAUGGUAGAGGGAAGUGGAAUUUCCGGUGUAGCGGUGAAAUGCGUAGAUA